CCAAGUCUCAAGAGUGAACACGUAAUUCAUUACGAAGUUUAAUUCUUUGAGCAUCAAACUUUUAAAUUGAAGAGUUUGAUCAUGGCUCAGAUUGAACGCUGGCGGCAGGCCUAACACAUGCAAGUCGAACGGUAACAGGAAACAGCUUGCUGUUUCGCUGACGAGUGGCGGACGGGUGAGUAAUGUCUGGGAAACUGCCUGAUGGAGGGGGAUAACUACUGGAAACGGUAGCUAAUACCGCAUAACGUCGCAAGACCCAAGAGGGGGACCUUCGGGCCUCUUGCCAUCGGAUGUGCCCAGAUGGGAUUAGCUAGUAGGUGGGGUAACGGCUCACCUAGGCGACGAUCCCUAGCUGGUCUGAGAGGAUGACCAGCCACACUGGAACUGAGACACGGUCCAGACUCCUACGGGAGGCAGCAGUGGGGAAUAUUGCACAAUGGGCGCAAGCCUGAUGCAGCCAUGCCGCGUGUAUGAAGAAGGCCUUCGGGUUGUAAAGUACUUUCAGCGGGGAGGAAGGGAGUAAAGUUAAUACCUUUGCUCAUUGACGUUACCCGCAGAAGAAGCACCGGCUAACUCCGUGCCAGCAGCCGCGGUAAUACGGAGGGUGCAAGCGUUAAUCGGAAUUACUGGGCGUAAAGCGCACGCAGGCGGUUUGUUAAGUCAGAUGUGAAAUCCCCGGGCUCAACCUGGGAACUGCAUCUGAUACUGGCAAGCUUGAGUCUCGUAGAGGGGGGUAGAAUUCCAGGUGUAGCGGUGAAAUGCGUAGAGAUCUGGAGGAAUAUCGGUGGCGAAGGCGGCCCCCUGGACGAAGACUGACGCUCAGGUGCGAAAGCGUGGGGAGCAAACAGGAUUAGAUACCCUGGUAGUCCACGCCGUAAACGAUGUCGACUUGGAGGUUGUGCCCUUGAGGCGUGGCUUCCGGAGCUAACGCGUUAAGUCGACCGCCUGGGGAGUACGGCCGCAAGGUUAAAACUCAAAUGAAUUGACGGGGGCCCGCACAAGCGGUGGAGCAUGUGGUUUAAUUCGAUGCAACGCGAAGAACCUUACCUGGUCUUGACAUCCACGGAAGUUUUCAGAGAUGAGAAUGUGCCUUCGGGAACCGUGAGACAGGUGCUGCAUGGCUGUCGUCAGCUCGUGUUGUGAAAUGUUGGGUUAAGUCCCGCAACGAGCGCAACCCUUAUCCUUUGUUGCCAGCGGUCCGGCCGGGAACUCAAAGGAGACUGCCAGUGAUAAACUGGAGGAAGGUGGGGAUGACGUCAAGUCAUCAUGGCCCUUACGACCAGGGCUACACACGUGCUACAAUGGCGCAUACAAAGAGAAGCGACCUCGCGAGAGCAAGCGGACCUCAUAAAGUGCGUCGUAGUCCGGAUUGGAGUCUGCAACUCGACUCCGUGAAGUCGGAAUCGCUAGUAAUCGUGGAUCAGAAUGCCACGGUGAAUACGUUCCCGGGCCUUGUACACACCGCCCGUCACACCAUGGGAGUGGGUUGCAAAAGAAGUAGGUAGCUUAACCUUCGGGAGGGCGCUUACCACUUUGUGAUUCAUGACUGGGGUGAAGUCGUAACAAGGUAACCGUAGGGGAACCUGCGGUUGGAUCACCUCCUUACCUUAAAGAAGCGUACUUUGCGGUGCUCACACAGAUUGUCU
This 1646-nucleotide ribosomal RNA is filed under the name Shigella sonnei. RNAcentral describes it as "bacterial SSU rRNA". It matches the Rfam family "Bacterial small subunit ribosomal RNA". The record is from RNAcentral. Lineage: Bacteria; Pseudomonadati; Pseudomonadota; Gammaproteobacteria; Enterobacterales; Enterobacteriaceae.